UUGUUCCCAUAACUGAAAGUCAGGUCACAUGAGACUAAACUGCUACAGGUUCCAAUGCAUGCAUGUGAAUAACAUCACACUUUUACAUAAUAUCUUAAUGUUUUCUAUAUAGUUCACUAACAGUAUGCGCUUUCUUUUAUGCAGUAUGUUGAAUUAUUAUUAUUAUUUUUUUAAGAUUUUCUCAGAAAUAGCAGACUGCAGAGAUCAGACUGACAGAUCCCCAUCUGACAUCAUUAAUCAGACUUAGUCCAGAGGAGUGUUUCACUCUGCCUUUUUAUUUUUUAAACAAGUUUAUACAAAGAACACUUAACAAUGUUUCUGUUAUAAACAGAUGCUUAAAAAUCCAUUAAAUCAGUUGGAUGUGUCCAUAUGUUCCUUAGAAAUUGCAACUAGUGUAGUAGAAACAAUUGGCAUUUUCUUUGCUGUUGUGUCAGCAUGGUCAUCAUCAGCAUCAUCAUUUCUCUUGUCAUCAGCAUCAAAUUUGCUGUACCAUAUGUUCAGUCAUUUCAUUUCUUACAUUAAAAAUUGGUUCCCUUUCGAUGGAACUUCGAACUGCAUCCUCUUGAGGUCCCUUUGGGGAACGCCUUCAGUGUGACCGGUGUUUGAAGCAUACAUCUAAACACAAAAUAACCUUGGCCGGUGACAGCCUAUGAUUUUACCUAGCGCAAUCACAGUAUAAAAGGGCACCCGGAGAACACGUCAUCCUCUUUGGCCCUGUCCCAAAUCACACCCUGAGUCCACACUUUCAUGACGUUAUGCUACUUUGACUGUCGGGUAGAAGUCUGCCGCAAAGCUUGCCUCAGUGCGGGCUCGGCAGAAGUGGGCAUCGAGAAGGCAUAGCGGGGGCACUCAUGAGCACUUUGUAAGUCUGCAAGACCACAAAUGCAAGUGAAGUGUGCCAUUUGGGACAGGGCCUUCUUUGUCUUCAAUGACCUUUUGUUUAUGUUAGCGUUAAGAUAAGCACGACUAGGAGUGCAUGUUCUCUCGCUAGAGGCUUUGCUCUAAAACCCGGAGUUUCACAUGGCUCGUGUGUUGUGUCUGUGUGGUGAGGAGCAAGUGCGUUCAGCUCCCGAGGGAGUUGGAUGUGCUCUGCAUUCAUUGCUCAUUUCUUGAUAGGGAUAAGCAUGAAUUGAACAUGCUCAUCACAUAAGGAGACAGCCUGUGCCCAUUGUAAUGUAUUUGUGGGACUACUGUACGGGAAGUGAGUACUUCACCAUUUACCCAAGUUUGUAGAUAGCGCUUGUGUGAGUGUGUUCGCCUCUCGCAGGAAUAGCAAUGCAUUUACGGCAGCGGUUUCUGCUCUCGCUUGAUUUCUAUGGUAAUCUAGAACCUGGGCGGGGCGUGUUUAGCUCUAGCGGAAGCUAAAUGCAUGCCAUACGUUGCAGUUGUGGUGAGAAUUGUCUGCCCAUUGCCGUGAUUCGCGGUUGAUGGGCAGAACAUGGAAAGGACCUGACGGGAAUUUUUUUUCCCUAUCAGUAAUUUCCUUCUGUUUUUUUAUAGGAAGUGUAUAAUGUGGAUAUCUGUCUGCAGUUGUUGGACAGAUGCUUUAUAUCAUGUCCUUAUCAGGUAACCACAUUUUACUGCACUCCGGCUUGAUUCCCCUCCUGCGUUUGCAUUGCGGUCUCUCAUGCCUAUGGUGUUUUUGUUAUUUUCUAUGUCUCAUAGAACUACCUUUUACGGUCCAGACCCAAGCACUCUUCGGACUUUGCCUUCAGAUUAUAUUUGUGAGCUUGAGACAUGCAUGUGAGUCAUCCUCUCUACUUGAGAUCUAGGUACUUUGUCCCUGGCCUAUUGAUCGCUUCGGUUUAGCUGGAUUCCUCUCUCUUUGCCAAGGGUAGAGCCCUCCGCUCUUUGAGCUCCAUGACCGUGACAUCAGGUUUUGGCUGCUUGUUGCCUCCCUGAUAAGUUGCCCCUAUUUGGUUGAGCUUAGCAGUGCUCCUCUCAUCUUAGAGGGUCACCUAUGACCAAGCCUCUCCUAUUUUGAGAGUUGGGCCUCUCCUCCAUUGAGCUCCGGUUAGCAGUCAUGCCAGGUUGCUGGGACAUCUGUCUCCUUGGGGGACUGUUUUUUGGUUGAGCCAAAAUCUAGCGCAGCCUUCUGGUCGAGCUGAGAAGUGCUCCCCUCACUGUGAGGGUUAGCUAUGAGUCGCUCCCAGUGUGUGCUCUAAGGACCUGCCUCAGCUUGAGAGCCAAGAGCGUUGCUCCCGAAAACUUACAAUCUAUCUGUUCUCCAGACAUGGCUGUGCUCCCCUCACUGUGGGAGUGUAAUGCGGGAGCUCAACAGUCCUAAGCAAGACUCUGUGAGUCCCCCUCUCUGCUUGAGAGCUAGGUACUCUGACACUGGGCUAUUGAUCGCUUUGGUAAAGCUGGGUUCCUCUCUCUCCUUGCUAGGGUUUUAACCCAGAGUGACAUCAGGUAGUUGUGCCCUUUGCACCCUCCAUGAUAAGCUGCCUCUAUUUGGGUCCAGCCUAGCAGUGCUGAGCUGAGCAGUGCUCCCUUCACCCUACACAGUCACCUAUGAGCGCUGCUCCUGGAUUGAGCAUCUGAGUCCCCCUACUGUUUUUGAAGUUGGGCCUCCGCUCCUUUGAGUUCCGGUUAGCAGUCAUGCCAGGUUGCUGGGCCAUCUUCUGCCUCCCUGGCGGGUUGGUUGUUGAGUGAGCUAGCUGUGCUUCCCUCACCAUGGAGGGUCUCUUGCAAGCACACUGCUCCUUUCUGAGCUUCUGAGUCCCUCUCUUUUGAGAGUCGAAUCCUUCGCUCUGUGAGAUCCACUGGGUAGCAUGUUAGGACUCUGCCUUCCUCUUAGGCUGCUCUCUUGGUGAGUUCAGCAGUGCUCCCCUCACCCUGGAGGGUUAUCUAUGAGCGCGCUGCUUCCCAGUCAGGCAUUGGUGUACCCCUCUCGGUCUGAGAGCUGGGUGCUAUGCCCCUUCUAGUUAUGCAUUAGCAGAUGCUCUGGAGUCUGUUCUGUGACUGCUAUGGUUGAGUUGGUGAUACUCCCCUCAUAUGGAGGGUUUUUCUAUGAGAUACGACUUUUCAAAUUAAAAGCGCUCUGAGCACGCGGUCUCCCGCUAAAUUAAUAGUCACUCCCUGAACGUGCCACAGUCACAUGGGGUUCCUAGGCUUGUCUAAAUAACAGCUUCGGUUACCCCUUAGUUUCUAAAUCCAUGCUAUGGUAAGUGCACACGCUGAGCUUCUGUGCACUCUAAAAUCCACAUUGUGGUAAGUGUGCAUGAUAGGCAUACUGUGCACUUUCUAAAAUCUUGUAUGGUAAGGGUUACGCACUGUCAACCUUGUUUCCUUUCUCUGAGACACUUUGCCGUAUCCCCUUAAAGGAAUCUAUUUCUUCUGAUUCCAAGCCUUGAGCUCUGCCCUAGGCUUGGGCUUCCCAGCCCAGCCUUUAACAGGUAAGUUAUUUUAGGGUAUGCAGCUCAGGCCCUUGGCUGAUGGGGAUAAUGUCACUGACAGCUGUCAAGGCGUCCUUGGGGCAACUACCAUGGCUAUGGUAGAGUUGGUACUUAGUGCUUGCCAUGGUUUCUGGCAUGCACCUCCCUCAGCAUGGUGGUGUGGGUAUACCAUUUCCCAAAGUGACCUCUAGAGGACGCAGCUCGGAAGGGAACAUCUCAGGUUACGUACGUAACCAUGGUUCCCUGAGAAGGGAACGAGACACUGCGUCCUCUAGUUCCCUUGCCAUGCUUCAGACGAAAGCUACAGACAAAGAAGCAGAUGAUGUGUCCUCCCGGCUCCUUUUAUACUUUAUAAUAGGCUGUCACUGGCCAAUGUUAUUGUCGUGUUUAGAUGUAUGCUUCAUACACCAGUCAUGCUGAAGGCAUUCCCCAAAGUGACCUCUAGAGGAUGCAGUGUCUCGUUACCUUCUCGGGGAACCAUGGUUACAUACAUGACCUGAGACGUUUCAUAGUUAUACAUAUAAUUUAUUGAAUAAGGUUGCUCUCAUGCCGACCUAACAGAAAACAUUACAGAUAUCUUCCUACAUGACAGUUACAACAAUUGUUGCAUUAAAGCAUGGGAAUUGUAGUUUUUUUAUUAUUAGAUGAUAUGAAUAGUUAAUGUUCUGUUAGUAUUAAAAGGAAUAUUCCAGCUCCAGGUAUAGAGAAGGUUAGUAUAAGGAAUGUUAUUAAAUUAGUGUCAUGUUAACACACAUAAUCUGUAGCUUUAAGUGUUUAUACUUUUACAAUGGUGUGUAGUUGGUGUUGUAAGUAAGUGCAUUAUUUUUUUAUUAUUAUUUUUUUUUAAUUUAAAUUGAAAUUAUGGCAUUUUCUAUGGUUAUCAGCUUAUAAAUAGGUUUAACGGGGGAAAAUGUAUCUGUGUCAAUUUGCUUUUCAAAAUAUCUAUUGGCUAGUGGCUGGUUCAUUUCUAAAAGUUGCCAAAUUAUUUUCUGGUAUAUCCAAAAAAGAAAAAAAGGAGGAAAAAAUACUGAUGACUCAUCCUGAACUAAACUGAUUUUUGUCCAGUCAGAUCUGUAGGAUGAAAAUAUAUCCCCUAAAGCCAAACUGAAGAAAAAAAAAAGGAUGAGAUUUUAAUGUGUCCAACCUCCAACUUCCUGUUUCAACAAAGAAUAUGUCAAGAUAGGGCAGAAAACAUGCUAAUCAAGCAAAUUCAAGGGGUCUUCGGAUUGUUUUAAAUUUAGAAUACUCCUUUAGAGUCAAACCGAACCUUCCUAGACAUUGACCUUUGUGACAAUCCAUAAAAGUCUUUUAAAAUGUACAAUUUACACUCAUACAUGACUACAAACUGUGGUUCUUCUCAAACAGGUGCAUUUUAGCUUGGCUUUUGCAUCUCUAGUCUUUCACGUGCUCUCUACAGCUCUGUUUCCCUGACUGUCUCCCUCUUCCACCCUCCUGUAAAUUUUAUUUCUCUGAAUUAUUCAGCGUCUCCUCAAAGUGCAACCAGACUUAAGGGAAAAAAGCAUGGCAGAUAUGGAAAUGGGGCAUUAGACAAGCAAAAAAGAUGAAGUACAUGGAAACGAGAGGAUAGGAUGACAGAUCUCCUCUCUCCACCCACAGUUCUUCGUCAUCAUUUACUGUAUUGUCCUCCAUUUCUCUCUCUCUCCCCAGCCUCAGGAGACCCAUAUUAAGAUAUCACUGACAGCUAAGACUUAUGCCUCCCACUGUCCCGAUGAGAUGGAGAGAGAAAUGGAAGAACAAACACAAACGAGACAGUGACAGAGAGAAAGAAAGUAAGGAGAGAACGAGAGAGACUACAGUAAUAUCGGGUCCACACUGCGAGCAAGUGACGCGACAAAACUAGCUUAUAAUCAAUGAAACUGUCAGCCAUGGUGCAAGGUUUAAAAAUCAGUUUCUGCAAGGGUUCCUGUAGGCAAGUGUAUAAAAAGUACUGAAAUAUUUUGUGUGCUUUAUCACAAUAGUAGUGUUCUGGAAAUGUACAGUACUUGUUACAAUUUCACUUCGCGUUCAAAGUACUAAGUAUAAAGUAUGUUUCAAUUAGUCAUCAUCUCCAUUUAUAUGUCCUUUUAUUGAGAAUGCAUCAUUUCCUUUGCUUAAAUGAACUAAAAAGGCAUAUCACAGUCAGAGAAUCUCAAGAGACAAUCAAUAAAAUCCAUUUCAAUGUAAAAUGUACAGUAAUUCUUUAAACCAUGGUAAUUUAUACUUGUAAAGAGACGUUUCAUCAGUCACCCAAACAUGUGUCUAUAUUAUAACCACUGAUGAAGAUGAAUUUGAAAGAUUCAAUCUGCUCAGUUCGCUUUUUCAGCAUAUUAUUAUAUUUAUUUGAUAUUUAAUUAAGUGUCUGAUGUAUCCUAGAGUCUUUUAUAUUUGGGAUAUUGAGGACAACUGCAGAUAAAUAGGUUGCUUUGCAUUAAAGUUACUUUAAAAAAAAAAAGUCUCAUUUUAUCUAUUUCAAAAGAUAAGAAAAUAUAUUUUAAGCACAAUUACACUACUCUUCAAGGGUAAGAUUUUUGUUGUUGUUUUAGUCACUUUUGCUCUUCAAGGCUGCAUUUAUUUGAUUAAAAUUGCAGUAAAAACAGUAAUAUUGUAAAAUAUAAUUACAAUUUGAAAUAACUGUUUUCUUUAUUAAUAUAUUUUAGAAUUUAUUUAAGAUUUUUUUUAUUAUUAAUAAAAUUGAUUUUAAUGAUGGCAAAGCUAAUUUUCAGAAUCAUUACUUCAGGCUUCAGUGUCACAUGGUCCUUCAGAAAUCAUUCUUAUUGGUGGUUUUGUGCUCAAGAAACUUUUUUGUUUGUUUGUGAUUAACAAAGUUCAAAAGAAAAGCAUUUAUUUGAAGAAAUCAAUUGUAACAUAUGUCUUUACUGUAACUUUUGAACAACUGAAUGUGUCCUUGCUGUACAAAAGUACUAAUGUUUAUUGAUUUAUUUAUUUUAAAUAAAUGUUUGAACUGUAAUGCAAAUGCAGAUUUUUCUUUCUUUCCCUUGAGUAUAUUUGUAAGUAUAUUUUUGGCUAAUGAAGUAAAAUGCUGUCACAGUACCCAUACUAAAGUAUAAUUUGUCAGUACUUCUUACACCCCUCUACAGGCCCUGCGUGUAAAUUUAUGUCAGUUUCAAGAUUAAAAAGAUGAAAAGUGUCUGGAUGUACACACUGACAGUGCCUUUUCCUUUUUAUCAAGUGUUGCCAAUUUAUGGGUGGCACAAGUGACAACAACUAUUGAUGCAAUAAAAAUAAAGUCAGAUAAAGGUCAAUUUUAUGCAAAUAAGCCAUGUAAUAUGGCCACUAGCAUGUAGAGAAUGCAGAAAGGGUAGACUCUGUGUCCUCCAACAGUUUAAUCACAGUCAGUGUGAACGUCCAUUGAGCCUUGAAGAGUCAGAGGAGGAGGCUAGGAUGAGUGGAAAAGACAGAGUGAAUGCUGAUGAUGGAGAGCUGUGUAUAAAAGGAAUAAAAAUAGUAUAGUGGGCUAUUUAUUUAUUAAAGUGAACAACUCUGUCCUAACCCGGCAUGACUUCUGUUAUAGCACUGUUUUGGGUAGCCCACAGUUUCUUGCUUACUGGUCCAAAAUCCUGCUAGAGCGCAAAAGGAAGUAAAAUUCCCAGUGAUCCCACAAAGCCCUGCUAAUGAUGUAAUUAAAGUUUUAUGUAUGCUGUUUGCUGAAUGCUCAUUUUAUUACAUCAUUUGCAAUGCUUCCUGGUGUGAGAACCUAACUGCUUCAAAAGAAAGUAUCAUCUCUUUUUCCCAUUUUAAAACUUACAAUAAAUUUUUUUUUUUGCUUCGAAUUAAAUGUUGAAUGUCCAUAAACCAAGCUGUCACUUCUAUGAUUGCAUGGCAUUUUGGACAAAUAAAUUACUUGGAAAUGUGUUGCAUCGCACCUAGUUAGGACAUGGGGUAACGUGAGCAGGCUGCACCUAGAAAAGCCUUUGGGAGAGUUACACUAAACACUGUGUUUACAAUGUCAAAUCCUCAGCUUUAAUUUGUGUUUGUAGUUGUGAAAGGCUGUGAACUAAUGCUACUUUAUAUUCACAUCAUAUACAUACAUUUUUACACAAUAUUUAUAUAUUUAACUUUUUGCUCUUUUAACCCUGAUGUAUGAAUAAAUGGGCAUAUAUAAUCAGUAAACAUGUAAAACAUAAGAAACAUGACAGGAGAUAUUUCUCAAUUCUAGUGUUGCUGUAAAAAAAAAAAAAAAACUGGCCUUGUUUAAGUCAACAGGCAAGCCUAAUUAGUCUUUCUGUCAUUCUCUUUAUCAAUGAUGCAACCAGUGGCUUUUAAUUAGGAUCAAUCUGCAAUUGCUGUAGCUGGCUUUGGAUUUCCUUUAAUGCUGGUAAGUUCAAACUUAGAGCAGUUGUCUUUUCCACUUCUGUAAUGAGCUCUCGUAUGUCCUUAACAUGUUUUUGCAUGUCUUUUGGGGGUUCAAACAAGAAAAGUACCGUUUUCUCAAAGAGGGAACAUAAUUUUUGCUUUGUGAUGGAGAGUAAUACACAAACACACACAAAGUGUGUUGUGGCAAAAAAAAAAGACUAAAAUUUUGAUCACAGGACAGAGCAUCACUUUCACAACCUCUUGUUAUAGUUUACCCUAGUGAACUUUUUCCACUCCGACACAAGCAACUGUACUCCCUGUCAUUGCAUUGGGAAAAACUAAUCCUUUCCAUCUUGAACGCAGGCAACUCCUAUUAAGAUCACAUACCUCUUUUAAAGCCCUUAGUAGAAUUCAUCCUAAUUAUACAUACAGAAAAGGUACAGCUUAGAAUAGUGCAUAAGAUUAGAUCGGUCAAACAUACCACCAAACGAAUGGAGCCACCAAACAAAUGGGAACAAUGUGAUUCUCCAAUAUACAUAUUACAUGUCUCUGAAUUGGCAACUAAUAUGUCAUUCAAGCAUUGGUUAUAAUACAUCUUUUAAAAAUUAUAGGCUUUAUACAUAUAGCGCAAGCUUCAAAUAUGGCAAGACAUCUUUUAAGUUAGUAAGGAAGGUGAGAAGGGUGUUAAAAUUCGGAAGCACUUCAUCUCCGUCAAAUGGUUGUCAACUGCGGCAGGCUCGACUUUGAUUCCAAUUACACUUACGAUACAAAAAAGACGACAUUGCAAAUAGUACAUAAACAGUAAAAAGUACAUCAUGUAUUGCUAAAGAUAAAAUUCUACCCGGUGGCAUUCACAUCACAGGUAGAACGCUUUCAUUUUAAGAAGAAAUCUGAAACAACAGUCAUUCAGCUUAUUUAGGUGGUUUAAAAUAACCACUGGAAAUGAUUCUUCACACCGAAGGAAUUCGAAAGUAGAUAUUUACACCUUGUGUUUCUUUGUAACGGAUGUGAAUGCACGCAACCUCUUUUGAUUUCACUUUAUAGUCCUUAAACUUUGGAAUUAAGUAGUUAACUGACCAAUCCAGUGCUUUAUUGAGUUAAUGUCAAAGUUUAUUCCUGGACAAUAGGUUUAAGAUGAUCGAGCCAGAGAUCUUGUCACUGUGGUUUGUCAAAAGCUAAAUCUGCUCUGCUCUUUUCUGGCAUUCCUCAAAGACAGACUUCAUGACCUCCCGGCUGACAAAGUGGCUCCAUUUCAGGCAGAGGGCUGUGUAGCUGGCUCACCUUGGCAUCACUUGACAUCUCUGUGCCAGGAGAGUCUGACAGCCGUGUCUGUCCUCCAGGGUUUGCCCCUGAAACCCAAUGACACCCUGCAGCCAUUGCCACCGAAACAGAACGAAGCAUCACUGUAGCUCAGGAUAGUUUGACUUGAUGCUGACCCAAGAGAGCAUGUUGAUACAUCCUCGCAUCAAUUCAACGGUUGAAAAUAGCCAUCCAGGAACAUGCUGUAACUGUAAUUGUUGUCAUAUUUUUGGAACUGCUGUCCCUGGAGUUGGUCCACAAGUAGAAAUUAUCUCCAAAAUGAAGCUAGUGAGGAUAUAAAGAGAGAGAGCUACUUUUUUCUUUCUUUUUUCGUCCUUUCUUUAUAGUUCAUUACAGACCCAACUGCCGUAACAUGUACUGCAAUGACUAUAAUGUGAUCUAAUGCAAAGAAAGGAACACUUUGUACCAUUACGAGUGCGUUGCAUCCUCCUUCCGAAUUUAAUAAUCCUUUUCUGUCUCUCACAAUACUGCCAUUUUAUUUGCAAGCAGUUCCACUGAACAUUUCACACUCUUUUAUAGUCCCUAUGUGGCUUGUACAUCAGAUGUCAUUGGCCUGUAAAAUCUCACAAGGCUAUUCAAACAAAGUGUGCUACUUUUUAGACACAACCAUUUGCUUGGUAAACAGAUGCGUUAUUGUUAUGUAAAGCAAGAGGUUACCAUCAGACAUUUCUGUGGGUCAAUAACCAUAACUCUCCAUUCAGAUCCGUUGUCAAUGAAAAAAGAUAAGUCAGACAAGAAAGACGUAUCUACAGGCAGUAUGGGAGAACAUAUUUUGGAUCUGCUGUAUUAGAAGCAGGCCGUCAUCAAUUACAGCGCCCCCUGCUGUUCUGUGGCAGUGUGGCAGCCAAACGCCUGCCAGGGAACAGCUUGGAACAGCAGAGAGAGAGUGAGUUUGACAGCUGUGUCCAUCAGUCAUUUGGCCCCAGGCAGGAGAGGAUGGAUAGGCCUAGUAUUGCUACCAUUUUCCUUGGUCUCUAGGGCAACUCUCAAGACACCUAAACUCUUUACUUUCAAACUGAUGUCCACCACUAGAUUUCUCAUGCCCAUUAGGAUGCUACAAUAGGGUGUAGGUAUUGCUGCUACAUGCUUGAUUUCGCCAACAAAUCAUUGGUCUAAAAGGUUCUUGCUUUCACCAAAAGGAUAAUUAUUUACAUUCAGAAGUAUUCAAAGGAAGCAUGCUGUUUGACAGAUAUUGCAAAGAAUACACAUGGGUGAAUUUAGCAAAGUUGUUUUAGCAGUGCUACUUAUGACAUUGCCGGAUUUGUUCACCUCCUCCGUCACCAUGGCACCUCAUCUCUGCAGGCGACUGUCGUCCCCUGAAAUGUCUCUCUUGAGUUCUGUCUGUAACAGAGACUGACUUAUCGACCUUGUCUUUACCUGUGCUGUGUCUCAAACAAGAGUUUGAAAUAGAAACAGCCAGAAUAGCUAUGACUUGAUGUUGGCGGUUUGCUCCUUGGACAAGUGCUGGAAUGCAUCCUUUGAUGAUGGUGUUGAGGUAAAGAGACCUAGGGACAUUGGUCUUUGCCAAAUUCACAUAGACCCUUAUCCGUUGACUGAAAUAACAAACCCUUAGACAUCACAACACUUGAAACUCUCUUUCCCUCUCAAGGGGCACCUUGGUUUCUUUUCUGUCCCCUUCCGUAUGCUUCCUCGCUGUUCUUUGUCCUCAGUGGUCUAGAAUUGUCGGAAUAAUAUCUCACUGUGUGGCAGCUCUUGGCUGAUGGAAGCUGACAGCACAAUGGCCUUGUCCAGAAGGGUGUGAAGGCUCCUGAGGUGCAAGGCUCCUGCCCUUUGCUAUCGGACACAUGGGUCUGGGCCACAAGAGACAUCUGAAGGCCAGCAGUACAAGAACAACAGGCUUCCCCUCAGACCGUCACUUCUGUUUUGCUGUUCGUGGGCAGUCCCUUGUGUUUUGGGAGGAGGUGCGGAGACUGUCCAUACCCCAGAGGCUGAGUGAACAACUCUGGAAGAGUCUCAAUGCUAAACUGACGCUUGUUGGAGAAGGCCUGGCGCCGACUGUUUGGUUGGGACAGAGGUGGCUGUGGCUGCAUCAUGAGAGGGACCUGAUGUUGGACAUGGCUCUUGUUAGGGUCCCAAACUUUAAAGGCUGAGCUCGAGGUGAGCGGGUGGGUGUUAGUCUUGGAGAUCUUGGGCUUGGGGACUUGAGCUGACGUAAUGGUGAUGGUCAAAGGAGUAUGGAUGUCCGGAGGGGGAAGAAAGGGUUUGUCUUUUGGGUGGAAAGCAAUAGGCUGGAAGGUUGCAGGCGAGGAUUGGCGGUGUGCGUAAUCCAUCAUGGGGUAGCUCUUGGGGUAGUAAUCCCUUGCUGUAAUAUC
Molecule: long non-coding RNA, 11365 nt
Organism: Cyprinus carpio carpio
Lineage: Eukaryota; Metazoa; Chordata; Actinopteri; Cypriniformes; Cyprinidae
Source: Ensembl